AUGGGGAGCCCUCUCAGCCCAGAAGUAGCAAAUUUCUAUAUGGAAUACUUUGAAAAACAGGCCCUAGAAACAGCACCAAAAAAGCCAACUGUUUGGUUCAGAUAUGUAGAUGACACCUUCAAAAUUUGGAGCCAUGGAGAGGAAGAACUCUGCAAGUUCCUGGACCAUCUUAACAGCAUCCACCCAAACAUACAAUUCACCAUGGAAAAAGAAAAGGAAGGAAAACUGCCAUUUCUAGAUGUUCUGGUCAUCCGCAAACCCAAUCAACAAUUGGGCCACACAGUUUACAGAAAACCCACACACACAGAAAGAUACCUUCAUAAAAACUCCAAACAUCACCCAAGUCAAAAAAGGAGCACAAUCAAAGCCCUGACAGACCGUGCACAAAGAAUCUGCGAACCUCACCUCCUCCAAGGUGAACUAAACCACCUAAACUGGGCUCUACAGGCCAAUGGAUACUCCACCACAGACAUAAGAAGAGCUGCAAGGCCAAGAACAAGCCAUGAGAGUCAAGACAAAGAUCCACCCAGAGGAAAGGUGUUCUUACCAUACAUCAAGGGAACCACUGACCGCAUAGGCAAACUGAUGAAGAAGCACAACCUACAAACUAUCUACAGACCCACAAAGAAAAUCCAACAAAUGCUACGGUCAGCGAAAGACAAGAGGGAUCCUCUCUCCUCUGCAGGAGUCUACCGUAUACCAUGCAGCUGUGGACAAGUAUACAUAGGGACCACCAAACGCAGUGCCCAAACAAGAGUCAAAGAACAUGAAAGGCACUGCAGACUAAUUCAGCCAGAGAAAUCAGCCAUAGCAAAGCACUUGAUGAACCAGCCUGGAUACAGGAUAUUAUUUGAGGACACAGAAAUGCUGGACCAUUCCAACAACUAUCAUGUCAGACUACACAGAGAAGCCAUUGAAAUCCACAAGCAUGUGGACAACUUCAACAGAAAGGAAGAAACCAUGAAAAUGAACAAAAUCUGGCUACCAGUAUUAAAAAAACUCUAA
RNAcentral lists this long non-coding RNA (1005 nucleotides) under Anolis carolinensis (green anole). RNAcentral's name for it is "lncRNA (ENSACAG00000041162.1)". Lineage: Eukaryota; Metazoa; Chordata; Lepidosauria; Squamata; Anolidae. The record is from RNAcentral.